CCCUUAGAUGUUCUGGGCCGCACGCGCGCUACACUGAUGCAUUCAACGAGCCUAUCCUUGACCGACAGGUCCGGGUAAUCUUUGAAUCUGCAUCGUGACGGGGAUAGACUAUUGCAAUUAUUGGUCUUCAACGAGGAAUUCCUAGUAGACGUAGUUCAUCAGACUGCAUCGAUUACGUCCCUGCCCUUUGUACACACCGCCCGUCGCUCCUACCGAUUGAAUGCUCAGGUGAGCCAUUCGGACCUUCAUCAUGCCGGUUUCCGGUUUUGAUGAGGGAAAGUCUUGCGAACCUUAUCAUUUAGAGGAAGGAGAAGUCGUAACA
RNAcentral lists this ribosomal RNA (322 nucleotides) under uncultured eukaryote. RNAcentral describes it as "partial 18S ribosomal RNA". It matches the Rfam family "Eukaryotic small subunit ribosomal RNA", at positions 1470 to 1796 of the family's 1831-position model. The record is from RNAcentral.